Molecule: ribosomal RNA, 460 nt
Filed under: uncultured bacterium
Lineage: Bacteria
Description: partial 16S ribosomal RNA
Rfam family: Bacterial small subunit ribosomal RNA
Source: RNAcentral
CCUACGGGGGGCAGCAGUGAGGAAUAUUGGUCAAUGGACGAGAGUCUGAACCAGCCAAGUAGCGUGAAGGAUGACUGCCCUAUGGGUUGUAAACUUCUUUUAUAAAGGAAUAAAACGAGGCACGUGUGCCUUUUUGCAUGUACUUUAUGAAUAAGGAUCGGCUAACUCCGUGCCAGCAGCCGCGGUAAUACGGAGGAUCCGAGCGUUAUCCGGAUUUAUUGGGGUUAAAGGGAGCGUAGAUGGGUUGUUAAGUCAGUUGUGAAAGUUUGCGGCUCAACCGUAAAAUUGCAAUUGAUACUGGCAGUCGUGAGUACAGUUGAGGUAGGCGGAAUGCGUGGUGUAGCGGUGAAAUGCUUAGAUAUCACGAAGAACCCCGAUUGCGAAGGCAGCUUACUAAACUGUGACUGACAUUGAUGCUCGAAAGUGUGGGUAUCAAACAGGAUUAGAUACCCUGGUAGUC